Molecule: ribosomal RNA, 487 nt
Filed under: uncultured Salimicrobium sp.
Lineage: Bacteria; Bacillati; Bacillota; Bacilli; Caryophanales; Bacillaceae
Description: bacterial SSU rRNA
Rfam family: Bacterial small subunit ribosomal RNA
Source: RNAcentral
UAAAGGGCACGCAGGCGGUUCCUUAAGUCUGAUGUGAAAGCCCGUGGCUCAACACGGAGGGCAAUUGGAAACUGGGGAACUUGAGAACUGAAGAGGAGAGUGGAAUUCCACGUGUAGCGGUGAAAUGCGUAGAUAUGUGGAGGAACACCAGUGGCGAAGGCGACUCUCUGGUCGGUUUCUGACGCUGAGGUGCGAAAGCGUGGGUAGCAAACAGGAUUAGAUACCCUGGUAGUCCACGCCGUAAACGAUGAGUGCUAGGUUUAGGGGGCUUCACCCCUUAGUGCUGAAGUUAACGCAUUAAGCACUCCGCCUGGGGAGUACGGCCGCAAGGCUGAAACUCAAAGGAAUUGACGGGGGCCCGCACAAGCGGUGGAGCAUGUGGUUUAAUUCGAUGCAACGCGAAAAACCUUACCUAUACUUGACAUACUUGGGAUGCUUUGUAAUGAAGCAGUGCCUUCGGGAGCCAAGAUACAGGUGCUGCAUGGCU